GGGGCUAUAGCUGGAAAGAGAGCGAGUGCUAUAUAUGCAAGGCAUGCUGGGGGUCAGCGGUUCGAAUCCGCUUGGCUCCA
This 80-nucleotide transfer RNA is filed under the name Synechococcus sp. AH-551-E02. RNAcentral describes it as "tRNA-OTHER". It matches the Rfam family "tRNA". From Rfam's summary of the family: Transfer RNA (tRNA) molecules are approximately 80 nucleotides in length. Lineage: Bacteria; Bacillati; Cyanobacteriota; Cyanophyceae; Synechococcales; Synechococcaceae. The record is from RNAcentral.